GGUGGCUCAGUGGUAGAGUGCUUGCCUUGCAUGCAUGAGGUCCUGGGUUUGAUUCCCCAGCACCA
Dipodomys ordii (Ord's kangaroo rat) is the source of this 65-nucleotide non-coding RNA. Lineage: Eukaryota; Metazoa; Chordata; Mammalia; Rodentia; Heteromyidae. The record is from Rfam.